Oreochromis niloticus (Nile tilapia) is the source of this 2057-nucleotide long non-coding RNA. RefSeq lists it as uncharacterized. Lineage: Eukaryota; Metazoa; Chordata; Actinopteri; Cichliformes; Cichlidae. The record is from RefSeq and is a predicted model, not a curated record. The transcript is spliced from 2 exons.
UCCAUCCCUUCUCUUCCAAUUAUCCAAUCCAGGAUCGGACUGAAACCCAUCCCAGCUACCAUGGAAAGAGCAGGGGUGCACACUGGACAGGUGGCCAGUCUGUCACAGGGGUAACAAGAGAGACUGACAACCAUUCACACCUAGAAUCUCCAGGUAACAUAAACCCACUAAACGCCUGCAUUGGACUGUGGAAGGGAGGUAGAGAACCCAAAGAGAAUCCACACAGACAAAGCAAGAACAUGGAAACCCUACACAGAAAGUCUGCGCCAGGACCUUCUUGCUAUGAGGCAACAGUCCUAACCACCGUGCUGCCCUAAACGAAAAGAUAAGGAAGAAUUUUAAGAGAUGCCUGCCGCAGUUCAGAAAACGGAUGACUGUUCACAUUUUAGACGUGCACUAAAAUUAAAAGUCGUGCACAGUAGCUGUUCCACGGCCGCGUCAGAGUCAAAGGAAGAAGAAAUAAUCAGAGAGGAAAAUCGUUUCAAUCAUAGAGCAAUUGCAACAUUUAUUGAAGUGUUGGCUUUCUUGUAUUGAUUUUUCAACACAUUACAAAAAUACAUAUAUGUUCAAAACAGCAGAUGUGUACUGUUCUGAAAUCACUUAUUUUUUCACAAUGAUGCACCCCCCCUCCCCCCACCCCCACCCCAAAAAAAGAGAACAAGGAAACUAUUUUGUACAAAGAGUGUAAGUGAAAGUUGUGAAAAGUGAAAUAUGAAAAUGUAUUUAAAAUUACAUUUUAAUGUGCUAGCACAAGACCUUCAACCAACCAUGAGGAUAAACACCAAAAAAAAGAAGAAGAAGAAGAAGGAGUCCAUGAAUGUCUGAUAAAAUGAUUCGAUAAAAGUAUUCCUGCACAAAACCACUGUAUUCGUUUUUCUCAUUUUUGAAAAUCAUUUUAUUUUACACCCGUGGAGCAUAGCUUCACCAAAAAACAGCAAAUUCAUUAAAAAAAAGAAAGACAAGUGAAAAAAAUACUUAAAAAGAUGAAGAUACCAAAAGUCAAUAAUGGCACCACUGUAAGAAAAAAAAAGAUAACCUGGCAUGAUUCUGCAAUAUUACAUUAAAAAAUAAACAAAAAAAACAAAAAAUCUGUCCAUAGAGUGAACAAGCAAUCAUACAGAAAUAUAUUCAUGUAGAUAAAAUCCCUCCACCAGGAUAAUCAUACAAAAACUGCUAUGGCAUUCAAAUCAUUUGAGAAAACAUUGGAGGAAAACAAUAGUUUAUUAUCAUUUUUAAACACUUACACAGAGUAUUUCAUUAAUGGCAUACUUCAACACUGUAAACAUAUUGUAAGACUGAAUGUCCAUGUGUGUGUGUGUGUUUGGGACACUGUGAGGGCUCCACUCUUCCAGUUGCACGACUCACUUUGGCCUAAGUCUGAAACUGGGCUUUCGGGGGAACGUGUGCGUUCUCGACAGAACCUUGAUUCUUUUGCAGUCGUGCGUCAACACGUGUAAGCAAACUGAAAGUAGCUCUUCAGGCAGUCUCGCUUUUCAAGUCGAUUUGAUAAAAUAUGUCAAACUAGCAGGUAAGUGAAUAGCUUAUGAAGAGCUCGACAGCUUUUUCCUUUUCGAAAAUCAUUAAAAGAAAAAAAGAGCACUUUGAAUUCAAGGUACCGCGUAGUUCAGUUUCUUUUAAAAAACAAAAUAGCACAGAUAAAACCUGAAAAUAGGCCAAAAUGGGAGGUCAAAUCUUCAAGUGACAAUGCUUUUGAUGAUUGAGAUUUGCAGUAGUAAAAUGAAAGAUGUAUUCUCAAUCUCCUUUCAUGUGGCUUUGCUGUCUCCCUCCCCUCUCACGCUCACUCUGUCUCACUCUGAUGGUCUGUUAUAAGAUGUGGCGAGUAGAUGUGCAUUUGGUUACAGAAAAAAAAAUACACUUUUCAUAUGCUCCCAAUUUCAUUUGAAUGACUAUUCUCCCUGGUCAAGGUCUUGCUCUCUCUCCCUCCAUUUCUUUCUCUCACAUCUCCAUUUCUCAGUUCCAAUCUUUCAUUUUAUGCUCUGAGAAUAGCCCCCUACUCAAGGUCGGCCGGCCAUCCCUUAGUGCAGCUGUGCUCAAAA